RNAcentral lists this long non-coding RNA (317 nucleotides) under Nicotiana benthamiana. RNAcentral describes it as "long non-coding RNA (NBEN_LNC009214)". The record is from RNAcentral. Lineage: Eukaryota; Viridiplantae; Streptophyta; Magnoliopsida; Solanales; Solanaceae.
UUCUUUUGAUAUUCCCGCCUUACUAUAAUAUCGUUCACACUCUAUCUUUCUCACAGACUAUUUUCUUAUACCUUGUUUGUGAAACCUCACUCUUUUUCUCUCUUUUUUUUCUCUCUUUUUUUGGUGUGUAUAAAUGAGAGUUGAAGCUUUGCCAAAAACCCCACUCCCUAAAGCCUAUAAUAUUUGACAAUUUUGCACAAACUUUUCACAAUUUCCUACCAAACCUUUUGAAUGAGAUGGACAUCGUUGGAAGCCAGUGUUUCACGUCGUUUAUUGGUAAUUAUUGGGAUCUUUACAAGCACCUCUUAUAAUUGCUG